This 746-nucleotide ribosomal RNA is filed under the name uncultured archaeon. RNAcentral describes it as "bacterial SSU rRNA". It matches the Rfam family "Archaeal small subunit ribosomal RNA", at positions 87 to 822 of the family's 1478-position model. The record is from RNAcentral.
UGCUCAGUAACACAUGAUCAACUUGCCCUAUAGAGAAAAAUAACCUCGGGAAACUGAGGAUAAUGUUUCAUAGCUGAAUUGGCUUGGAAAAGUUUUUCAGUAAAAGGGAUAAAAAAAAUGGUUUUUAUCUGCUAUAGGAUAGGAUCGUGUUCGAUUAUGGUUGUUGGUGAGGUAAUGGCUCACCAAGCCGAUAAUCGAUAGGGGCCGUGAGAGCGGGAGCCCCGAGAUGGGUACUGAGACAACGACCCAGGCCUUACGAGGCGCAGCAGGCGCGAAACCUCCGCAAUACACGAAAGUGUGACGGGGUUACCCAAAGUGUUCAUCAUUGAACUGUGGUAGGUGAGUAAUGUUCCCUACUAGAAAGGAGAGGGCAAGGCUGGUGCCAGCCGCCGCGGUAAAACCAGCUCUUCAAGUGGUCGGGAUAAUUAUUGGGCUUAAAGUGUCCGUAGCCGGUUUAGUAAGUUCCUGGUAAAAUCGGGUAGCUUAACUAUCUAUAUGCUAGGAAUACUACUAUACUAGAGGGCGGGAGAGGUCUGAGGUACUACAGGGGUAGGGGUGAAAUCUUAUAAUCCUUGUAGGACCACCAGUGGCGAAGGCGUCAGACUGGAACGCGCCUGACGGUGAGGGACGAAAGCCAGGGGAGCGAACCGGAUUAGAUACCCGGGUAGUCCUGGCCGUAAACGAUGCAUACUAGGUGAUGGUACGGCCAUGAGCCGUGUCAGUGCCGUAGGGAAACCGUUAAGUGU